GUCAGAGGUGAAAUUCUUGGAUUUGCUGAAGACUAACUACUGCGAAAGCAUUCGCCAAGGAUGUUUUCGUUAAUCAGGGAACGAAAGUUAGGGGAUCGAAGACGAUCAGAUACCGUCGUAGUCUUAACCAUAAACUAUGCCGACUAGGGAUCGGACGGGCUUCUAUGAUGACCCGUUCGGCACCUUACGAGAAAUCAAAGUUUUUGGGUUCUGGGGGGAGUAUGGUCGCAAGGCUGAAACUUGAAGAAAUUGACGGAAGGGCACCACAAGGCGUGGAGCCUGCGGCUUAAUUUGACUCAACACGGGGAAACUCACCAGGUCCAGACAAAAUAAGGAUUGACAGAUUGAGAGCUCUUUCUUGAUCUUUUGGAUGGUGGUGCAUGGCCGUUCUUAGUUGGUGGAGUGAUUUGUCUGCUUAAUUGCGAUAACGAACGAGACCUCGGCCCUUAAAUAGCCCGACCCGCUUUUGCGGGCCGCUGGCUUCUUAGGGGGACUAUCGGCUCAAGCCGAUGGAAGUGCGCGGCAAUAACAGGUCUGUGAUGCCCUUAG
RNAcentral lists this ribosomal RNA (549 nucleotides) under uncultured eukaryote. Its description in RNAcentral is "SSU rRNA". It matches the Rfam family "Eukaryotic small subunit ribosomal RNA", at positions 904 to 1476 of the family's 1831-position model. The record is from RNAcentral.